Corticium candelabrum is the source of this 921-nucleotide long non-coding RNA. RefSeq lists it as uncharacterized. Lineage: Eukaryota; Metazoa; Porifera; Homoscleromorpha; Homosclerophorida; Plakinidae. The record is from RefSeq and is a predicted model, not a curated record. The transcript is spliced from 4 exons.
CUACGCGAGACUAGUUCUACGAAAGUUGCGAGAACUUUCCACAGGAGGGUCGACUAUCUAGUUUUCGUUGUUGGCGGAGAGAAGUCAUUGAAAGAUGUACGGUCAUAAGCGUCCUCCUGUUCCUGGAUCCAACUGCUACAACAGAAGAAGCACAAUCACAGUGACGGUGACAUUGUUUUCAGUGAUGGUUGUAUUGUCGGUCCAUCAGAUUUCUUCUUCAGUUCUGAAUCAGUGAUGUUACUUUUCCACACUCCUCUGUUUUCUGAUGUUGUAUAUCAACCUGUUUUGCAUGUGUUGAGUAAAGUGAAAUACAGUUAUAAUAUGAAAAUAUCACAAACUCGACCUCAUUUGAACUGAUGACUAUAAGAUAUUCCUAGAGGGCCAGCUGCGAAAAUGUUGAACAUGGACACGUGACUAACUGGUGACGUCAUUACCGAACCUGACAGACCGCGCCUGUACCUGAACCAGCAUAUGCAGGCAAGAAAAUGAAGACAAGAACUAUACUAAUCAGCAUGCAGCUAUGCGCAUGCAUGCAGAUAUGAGUGUGUAUACAGAGAUGCAAUACAAGAGUGAUCAGUGGGAAAAUGUCUAAGUUAAAUUGACUCAUCAACGGUGUAAAAAAUUUUAGCUUUGUUAUCGUCUUGCGACUAGAAGAUAUCGAUCGGUGAUAAUAUUUCAUUGAAACUUUUGUACCACUUCUCAUGUUUCUCACUUUGUGGCAUUAUCAGUAUCCUGGUAGAAGCGUUCCUGAAAGUAUACGCGUCCAACCAAACUUGGCGUUGCAGAGUAAUGUAGUUUUUUAGUUAAAGUGUGAGGGAAUAGUCUAGCUCUAACUGAAGUUCCGAGACUAUACGAAUAUUAUACUCUAGCGAAUUUAGUGUAAAAUGCAAACGUUCUAGUCCGCUGUCAAGCGACUUUCCA